AGUGGGACAGCUGGGUCAAAUGGUGGUUCCAUUCCCAAUUUUUCAAGUAAUCUCCAUACUGCUUUCCAGAGUGGUUGCACCAAUUUGCAGUCCAACCAGCAAU
RNAcentral lists this microRNA precursor (103 nucleotides) under Marmota monax (woodchuck). The record is from RNAcentral. Lineage: Eukaryota; Metazoa; Chordata; Mammalia; Rodentia; Sciuridae.